Hemicordylus capensis (graceful crag lizard) is the source of this 246-nucleotide long non-coding RNA. RefSeq lists it as uncharacterized. NCBI's taxonomy places the organism in Eukaryota, Metazoa, Chordata, Lepidosauria, Squamata, Cordylidae. The transcript is spliced from 3 exons. The record is from RefSeq and is a predicted model, not a curated record.
CAGCAGCCAGUUCUCCCUCCUCUCUGCAGUCUCACAGUCUGCAGAGAGGAGGCCAGUGCUUACAUCCAAAUUCAGACAGCACUGUCCAACUAUGAAAAUUUUUGAUUUAAAAAGCCCAGCAAAUGCAAAAAAGAUCUACCUGUUACUACAGUGCAGAUUAGAGGAGGCAAACUUGUGUUUUGCAUCUGAUAUCAGAAUUCUGUCAGCACAGAUGGUUACCAGUUCCAGAUAUUGCUUCUCAUAUAC